AUGAUUGUUUAUUUUUGUCCUUUUGGUCUCCAAUUUGAAUUGUUGCAGGAGAUCAAAUGCGCUGGCCUUCAUGAUUCCAAGACCUGGAAUCAUACGAGCCGAUGGUCGAAGAAGGAUUGGCCGGUGCUGCCGGCUGGCGUCAAGUUCGAUCGCACGGAUCAGGAGUUGAUCGAGCACCUUGAGGCCAAAGUGAGUGUUGACAGCGCGAGAUUUCAGUCUCUAAUCGAUUUGUUCAUACCAACCAUCGACAGCGAGCACGGCAUAUGCUACACCCAACCUGAGAAACUUCCAGGUAUUACACUGAGUGGCCUAAGGAAGCAUUUCUUCGAGCGCAAUUCCAGGGCGUUCAAAAGGAGCACAUGGACAUGUCACAAGAUACAGUCGGAGUGCGGCAUGCACGCGAUGUGGCACAAGACCGGCAGUACCUUGUCGGUGAUGGUCAACGGCUGA
Molecule: ribosomal RNA, 450 nt
Filed under: Triticum aestivum (bread wheat)
Lineage: Eukaryota; Viridiplantae; Streptophyta; Magnoliopsida; Poales; Poaceae
Description: partial small subunit ribosomal RNA
Source: RNAcentral